CUCCGCCCCAGGUCCAGUCUUGUGCCCCUCCGCCCCAGGUCCAGUCUUGUGCCCCUCCGCCCCAGGUCCAGUCUUGUGCCCCUAGCCCCUCCGCCCCCAGGUCCAGUCUUGUACCCCUAGCCCCUCCGCCCCAGGUCCAGUCUUGUACCCCUAGCCCCUCCGCCCCAGGUCCAGUCCUGUACCCCUAGCCCCUCCACCCCAGGUCCAGUCCUGUGCCCCUACCCCAGGUCCAGUCCUGUACCCCUAGCCCCUCCGCCCCAGGUCCAGUCUUGUACCCCUAGCCCCUCCGCCCCAGGUCCAGUCUUGUACCCCUAGCCCCUCCGCCCCAGGUCCAGUCUUGUACCCCUAGCCCCUCCGCCCCAGGUCCAGUCUUGUACCCCUAGCCCCUCCGCCCCUGGUCCAGUCUUGUACCCCUAGCCCCUCCGCCCCAGGUCCAGUCCUGUACGCCUAGCCCCUCCGCCCCAGGUCCAGUCCUGUACCCCUAGCCCCUCUGCCCCAGGUCCAGUCCUGUACCCCUAGCCCCUCUGCCCCAGGUCCAGUCUUGUGCCCCUCCGCCCCAGGUCCAGUCUUGUGCCCCUCCGCCCCAGGUCCAGUCUUGUGCCCCUAGCCCCUCCGCCCCAGGUCCAGUCUUGUACCCCUAGCCCCUCCGCCCCAGGUCCAGUCUUGUACCCCUAGCCCCUCCGCCCCAGGUCCAGUCUUGUGCCCCAGGUCCAGUCUUGUGCCCCUAGCCCCUCCGCCCCAGUCUUGUGCCCCUAGCCCCUCCGCCCCAGGUCCAGUCUUGUGCCCCAGGUCCAGUCUUGUGCCCCUAGCCCCUCCGCCCCAGUCCUGUGCCCCUCCGCCCCAGGCCCAGUCCUGUGCCCCUCCGCCCCAGGCCCAGUCCUGUGCCCCUCCGCCCCAGGUCCCAGUCCUGUGACCCUCCACCCCAGGCCC
RNAcentral lists this long non-coding RNA (930 nucleotides) under Salmo salar (Atlantic salmon). Its description in RNAcentral is "lncRNA (ENSSSAG00000105614.1)". The record is from RNAcentral. Lineage: Eukaryota; Metazoa; Chordata; Actinopteri; Salmoniformes; Salmonidae.